Molecule: unclassified non-coding RNA, 345 nt
Filed under: soil metagenome
Description: partial contains 5.8S ribosomal RNA, internal transcribed spacer 2, and large subunit ribosomal RNA
Rfam family: 5.8S ribosomal RNA (bases 1-120)
Source: RNAcentral
GAUGAAGAACGCAGUGAAAUGCGAUAAGUAAUGUGAAUUGCAGAAUUCAGUGAAUCAUCGAAUCUUUGAACGCACAUUGCGCCCGCCAGUAUUCUGGCGGGCAUGCCUGUUCGAGCGUCAUUUCAACCCUCAGGGCCCUUUUGGACCUGGCGUUGGGGCUCGGCCGCUACCCUGCGGCCGUCCCCGAAAGAUAGUGGCGGUCUCGCUGUAGCCUCCUCUGCGUAGUAGUUACAUCUCGCACUGGAACGCGGCGCGGCCAUGCCGUUAAACACCCCACUUCUCAAGGUUGACCUCGGAUCAGGUAGGAAUACCCGCUGAACUUAAGCAUAUCAAUAAGCGGAGGAA